AUGCGNGNCCUAAUCAUGCAAGUCGAGCGAACAGACGAGGAGCUUGCUCCUCUUGACGUUAGCGGCGGACGGGUGAGUAACACGUGGAUAACCUACCUAUAAGACUGGGAUAACUUCGGGAAACCGGAGCUAAUACCGGAUAAUAUAUUGAACCGCAUGGUUCAAUAGUGAAAGACGGUUUUGCUGUCACUUAUAGAUGGAUCCGCGCCGCAUUAGCUAGUUGGUAAGGUAACGGCUUACCAAGGCAACGAUGCGUAGCCGACCUGAGAGGGUGAUCGGCCACACUGGAACUGAGACACGGUCCAGACUCCUACGGGAGGCAGCAGUAGGGAAUCUUCCGCAAUGGGCGAAAGCCUGACGGAGCAACGCCGCGUGAGUGAUGAAGGUCUUCGGAUCGUAAAACUCUGUUAUUAGGGAAGAACAAAUGUGUAAGUAACUAUGCACGUCUUGACGGUACCUAAUCAGAAAGCCACGGCUAACUACGUGCCAGCAGCCGCGGUAAUACGUAGGUGGCAAGCGUUAUCCGGAANUUAUUGGGCGUAAAGCGCGCGUAGGCGGUUUUUUAAGUCUGAUGUGAAAGCCCACGGCUCAACCGUGGAGGGUCAUUGGAAACUGGAAAACUUGAGUGCAGAAGAGGAAAGUGGAAUUCCAUGUGUAGCGGUGAAAUGCGCAGAGAUAUGGAGGAACACCAGUGGCGAAGGCGACUUUCUGGUCUGUAACUGACGCUGAUGUGCGAAAGCGUGGGGAUCAAACAGGAUUAGAUACCCUGGGUAGUCCACGCCGUAAACGAUGAGUGCUAAGUGUUAGGGGGUUUCCGCCCCUUAGUGCUGCAGCUAACGCAUUAAGCACUCCGCCUGGGGAGUACGANCCGCAAGGUUGAAACCCAAAGNGAAUUGACGGGGACCCGCACAAGCGGUGGAGCAUGUGGUUUAAUUCGAAGCAACGCGAAGAACCUUACCAAAUCUUGACAUCCUCUGACCCCUCUAGAGAUAGAGUUUUCCCCUUCGGGGGACAGAGUGACAGGUGGUGCAUGGUUGUCGUCAGCUCGUGUCGUGAGAUGUUGGGUUAAGUCCCGCAACGAGCGCAACCCUUAAGCUUAGUUGCCAUCAUUAAGUUGGGCACUCUAAGUUGACUGCCGGUGACAAACCGGAGGAAGGUGGGGAUGACGUCAAAUCAUCAUGCCCCUUAUGAUUUGGGCUACACACGUGCUACAAUGGACAAUACAAAGGGUAGCGAAACCGCGAGGUCAAGCAAAUCCCAUAAAGUUGUUCUCAGUUCGGAUUGUAGUCUGCAACUCGACUAUAUGAAGCUGAAUCGCUGUAUC
This 1324-nucleotide ribosomal RNA is filed under the name Staphylococcus sp. A4. Its description in RNAcentral is "bacterial SSU rRNA". It matches the Rfam family "Bacterial small subunit ribosomal RNA", at positions 40 to 1342 of the family's 1533-position model. The record is from RNAcentral. Lineage: Bacteria; Bacillati; Bacillota; Bacilli; Caryophanales; Staphylococcaceae.